This 1103-nucleotide long non-coding RNA is filed under the name Equus asinus (donkey). RNAcentral's name for it is "lncRNA (ENSEASG00005032187.1)". Lineage: Eukaryota; Metazoa; Chordata; Mammalia; Perissodactyla; Equidae. The record is from RNAcentral.
CUCUCCUGUGUUCCCUCCGUCCCGAGGAGCAGAGGCACUGAAGGAACAGAAAAACACAAGCAGGAUAAAGGUGAAGUCCUUGCCUUGUCCAGAAGACAAAUGUCAUUAGCCAAGACAAGAGGAAGGAAUGCCUCUGCCACUACAGGGAAUGCCUCCCUCCAGACCAUCAUCAGUUAAGUGGCAACCUAUGGAGUUUCCUGUGACUCACAGCCAAAUUCAAAUUUGAACUGAUACUGUGUACUUCUGGUGGAGUUGACUUUACCGCAGACUCCAAGGGUCAGAAUGAGACUCAGGACAGUUCCUCUGGGCAGUUGACCCAACAACGUCCAAGAGAAUGUAGUAAUUCUUUUGCUGGAAUAACUGGCCAAGAGCCAGUCAUGUCUUCUCCUACUGAAUGUAAACAAAAGAAGGAUAUGGGCCUCUGGAGCUGCCUCCUGUCCCCUUGCAGGAAGAAAUAGCAUCGUUUGGCUCCUUCUCUCUGCUCUCUCCCACAUCUCCAUUGCUCUGACUCAUCCUCUGUGUAUCAUCUGGGACUUUGAUUUCAGAUCUUUAUGGUGGGAUCCAAAGAAACCCCCUCCCCCAGGACUCUGAAGGUGGUGAGCAACCAGGUGCUGGCGUCCCCAGAGCCCCUUGAGCUUGCUGCUUUCUCACUGGGCCUGGAGUUUGGUAAGUCUGGAGACACCUGGAGAAGGUGUUCCUGCAAAAAUGCUUCAUCUUCAAAGAGAUUCAUGGGAAAGAUCCUGACAAGUACUUUAAAAUGCGGGUUUCUGAUACUUUUAAGAUAGUGACACCGAACUGGAAAAAACAUCACAACAGAUUAUGAAUGGGCAAGCUUCAUACCUGAUGCUGUAUGGGCCACUCAAGAAAGUUCAACAAAACACCUGAUGACAGCAUCAAAGACAGUCAAACUGCAAACCAGGAAAGUCCAUCAGACUAAAACUGCCAUCCUCAUUGCACCAUCUGAAGAUGCUUCCAACCCAAAUCUAGAAAUGGUCUCAACUGGCUGCUCUCCAAACUCAAAAAAUGAAUUUAUAAUUUGCUCCAACUAUUAACCUUUGUUUUUUCUCUUGUGUCCACAGAAGUGCCUUUAAUUAAAUUACCUG